AUGCCGGCAACAACGGCCACCGCAGCAUCGGGCCAGUGGGCGGAACUCCCGGCCGACCUGCUCCGCGACAUCGCAUGCCGUCUCCGCACCGCGUCCGACUCCGUCCGCUUCGACGCCGUCUGCAGGCCAUGGCGCGACGCGCUCGAAGUUCAAGAAGGCCUCCUGCCGUGGCUCGUCGCGCCGUCCGAGGCCGCCGACGGCUCCGCGGAGGACCAGCGGUGCCGCUGCAUCUUCUCCAGGACGAGCUACCGCGCGCCCGGCGUCUGCGUCCGGGACAGAAGGGUCGCCUGCGCCGACGGCACGGCGGCGUGGCUGCUCAGCGCCCACAAGGAGCUCUCCCUCGUCGACCCCUUGAGUGGCGACCCCCGGCCUCUGCCUUUCCCCAGCGAACGCCUGGACCGCAGGUGGCUGGAGCACAGGCACCGCAUCAUCUCCGAUGACGGCGCCGUCCUCUUAUACAACUUCAGCCCGAACCCACCGCGACAUGGAUGUUAUACCUAUCCGUACCGCAGAGACAGGUUCCGGGCAUCCUUCCUGCGCCCCGGCGACGGCCAAUGGCAGCGUGUGUCGUCGGAUCUCGGCGGCACCGACCUCUGCUGCGCCGCCGCGCAUUACCGCGGCCACGUCGUCUCCGUGGGUUUGGCUAGCUACCAUGUGCUCCGGCCGAACGGGAAACCACUCGCCGAUGGCGCGUUACCGGUGGUGCGAGGAAAGGUACGCCGGCGCAGCCACCUCGUGGAGUAUGACGGCAUGCUGCUGCUGGCCAGUGUUCUUCAGGACGACGGCGGCAACGUCAACGUUAACGACCUGUCGGUGUCGCUGCACAAGCUACGCGUGAAGAAGGGCGGUGAGGUGGUAGAGUGGGCGCGCUGUGACUUCUAUUGCGGCGAGGACGACGUCCUGUUCUUGGGCUUCCCGGGCAGCUUCAUCGCGGACGCCGAAUGGUUUGGCGGGGAGCUGAGCGGUGGCACCGCCUACUUUAUCAUGGCCAACACGGCUCCGCAGCAGCCGUGCAGCGUGUACAGGUACAGCUUCAAAAACGGCGCCGCCACGCUGGUGGAGACGCUGCCGCCCGGAUGGCACGACGCCAGCUGCAUGUGGUUCAUACCCGAACCUGAGAUAACCAUGUUUCUUAAGCCUGACGACCAAGAGCAGGAAACUCCAGCAGACACCUGCAACACCACCAUCAAUCCCAUUCCCUUCUAUUUAACCCAUGCAAUACCCCCGCCCCAAUCCAUACCAUGGCUGUAUUCAUAA
RNAcentral lists this ribosomal RNA (1257 nucleotides) under Triticum aestivum (bread wheat). Its description in RNAcentral is "partial small subunit ribosomal RNA". Lineage: Eukaryota; Viridiplantae; Streptophyta; Magnoliopsida; Poales; Poaceae. The record is from RNAcentral.